GUAUCCUACGGGAGGCAGCAGUGAGGAAUAUUGGUCAAUGGGCUAAGGCCUGAACCAGCCAAGUCGCGUGAGGGAAGACGGUCCUAUGGAUUGUAAACCUCUUUUGUCGGGGAGCAACGAGGCCACGCGUGGCCGAAGUGAGAGUACCCGAAGAAAAAGCAUCGGCUAACUCCGUGCCAGCAGCCGCGGUAAUACGGAGGAUGCGAGCGUUAUCCGGAUUUAUUGGGUUUAAAGGGUGCGUAGGCGGACUGGAAAGUCAGCGGUAAAAUCGAGAGGCUCAACCUCUUUCCGCCGUUGAAACUGUG
This 305-nucleotide ribosomal RNA is filed under the name uncultured bacterium. RNAcentral describes it as "bacterial SSU rRNA". It matches the Rfam family "Bacterial small subunit ribosomal RNA", at positions 334 to 637 of the family's 1533-position model. The record is from RNAcentral.